Molecule: non-coding RNA, 45 nt
Organism: Schistosoma rodhaini
Lineage: Eukaryota; Metazoa; Platyhelminthes; Trematoda; Strigeidida; Schistosomatidae
Source: Rfam
AUCCAGUUGACGAGUUCUAAACAGGAUGAAACGCGUGUCCUGGAA